UUCAGCCAAUCCUCAGAGAGGACUAACAGCCCUCCCAGCAGAGGGAGAUUAAGUCCUUCACUCCCGGGAGGUGUCUGGGAAGCACAUCCCAGUGUGUACCGCAGCAGCUAUGCAUGUGUCGUUUUACCCAUGAGAAAUCGGAAGUUCAGAAGGGACAGAGCCAGGAUGUGAGCCUAGAUCUAUUAACACCUGUGAAUCCUGUGCUGUUUUCCACCAUUCUUGCUGCCAAUUCGGCACAUUUUCAUGCCUCUCGACUUCUUACGGUGCCCGCCAUAUUCCCAGCUGCUGCCUGAACUUAUCAAAGUGGACCCAAUGAAAGCUGUGCUGAGGAGGAUUAUUCUGCUGCUGAGGCUGGGUACAUUGGUGAGGCCGGGAACCUGGGACUGAAUUCCAAGCAGAGAACCAGAAGAGCUGUACAGAAAUCCAGGCAAGGGCCAAGAAGAAACAGGGUUUCACCAUGUUGGCCAGAAUGGUUUUGAACUCCUGACUUCAAGUGACUUACCCUCCUUGGCCUCCCAAAGUGCUGGAAUUAUAGGCAUGAGCUGCUGCACCCAGCCUGAAUGCUUAUGACUUGCUGGCACUGAAAGCCAUGAAGAGUAACUGAACGGAGGCGAAUAAGCUCAUAGCUUGGGAGGAAACAGCAACAUAGCAACGUCUUUAUUUUUGCCUUAUUGAUAUAACCUUGUUCACAAAGAAGACAUGGAAGGGAAGGGACUUGGAGAGUGAGAGAGGAAACAGAAAAGAAAGAUUCUGAGGAAGGGCCAGGAGGAAGCAAAUAGAGCUUCCAGUUCACGCUCCGGGAGUAUUCAAAGUGUCCAUGGGAGAGCUAUGGGUGGGCUUGCUUCACAUGCAGGGGGAGGCCUGGCUAUAGCUACCUUCCUCCCAGCUCUGACCCCAAAGUGAGGUCAGUGUCCAGUCUCCAUGUGAAUGAUUCUCAGACCCCAUCCUUUCCCCAGCAGGUUGCAAAGGCUGCGUCAUCUGUGCCUAUGCACAAGCCUGGGCCCAGAGAUUCUCUCAAGCCCUAGUGUCUCUGCUCUCCAGAUCAAGAGAACCAGCAGGGGCUAUAUCUAUAGAGAAGUUUAUUUUAAGGCAUUGGCUCGAAUGACAAUGGAGGCUGGCAAGUCCAAAAUCUACAGGGUAGUCCUGCAGUCUGGAAACCCAGGGAGGAGUUGAAGUUUGAGUCCCAAGGCAGUCUGCUGGCAGAAUUCCCUCUUGCCUCUGAGGAAAUUAUUGGAUGAGGCCCACCCAUUCAAUGGAGGGUCAUCUAAUUUACUAAAAGUCUAUUGAUUUAAAUGUUAAUCUCAUUUGAAAACAUCUUUGGCUGAGUGUGGUGGCUCAUGCCUGUAAUUUCAGCACUUUGGGAGGUGGAAGUAGAUGGAUUACUGGAGAUCAGGAGUUCGAGACCAGCCUGGGCAACAUGUCUAUACUAAAAAUACAAAAAAAAAAAAAAAUUAGCUGGGCAUGGUGGCGCAUGCCUGUUAUCCCAGCUACUUGGCAGGCUGAGGCAGGAGGAUUGCUUGAACAUGGGUGGCAGAGGUUGCAGUAAGCCAAGAUUGCACCAUUGCACUCCAGCCUGGGUGAAAAGAGUGAAAUUCCAUCUCAUAAAACAACAAAAUGAAAAAAACAAAAACACCUUCAAAGAAACAUCUGGAAUAAUGUUUGACCAACUAGCUGGGUACCGUGGCUCACCAAGUUGGCACAUGAAGUUAACUAUCCCAUCUGGAAAGGGAAGAUGGCUUCGUGGCAGAGCUGACUUUGGAGGGAGGGUAGCAACUGAUGCUUUUCGCCCCUUCUCCUUUUUUUUUUUUUUUUAAACAUUAUUCACUUAUUUACACUUUCAAACUGUAAUACAGGCAUGUAGUAAAUAAUUCAAAAGUUCUGAAAAGGUAGAAGAUGAAAAGUGAGUCUCCCUUCUACUUCUGACCUGUUUCUUGGGAAUUCUUUCAGAGAGAUAAAACAAAUCUAUAACAGGGAGGGGAGUACUAAACACCGGGGUCUAUUGGGGGGAAAAGGGGAGGGCCAGUGGGAGGGGGAGGUGGGGAGGGAUAGCCUGGGGAGAAAUGCCAAAUGUGGGUGAAGGGGAGAAAGGAAGCAAAACACACUGCCAUGUGUGUUCCUACGCAACUGUCUUACAUGCUCUGCUCAUGUACCCCAAAACCUAAAAUGCAAUAAAAAAUUAAAAAACAAAAAACAAAUCUAUAAGCAUUUUCCUUUUAAAAGCAUAAAGAGUAACAUAUUCCACAUACUUCAUGUUUUUCUAUGCCUUGCUUUUUUCUUUAUUCAGCAAAGUAAAGAAAAAUGGAGUUUUUUCUGUACGAGUCCACAUUGAUCUACCACAUUCUUUUAUUUAUUUAUUAUUAUUAUUUUUUGAGUCUUGCUCGGUCGCCCAGGCUGGAAUUCAGUGGUGCAGUCUCGGCUUAUUGCAACCUCCGCCUCCUGGGUUCAAGCAAUUCUCCUGCCUCAGCCUCCCAAGUAGCUGGGAUCACAGGCGCUUGCCACCAUGCCCAGUUAAUUUUUGUAUUUUUAGUAGAGACAGGGUUUCACCAUGUUGGCCAGGCUGGUCUCGAACUCCUGACCUCAUGAUCCAACUGCCUCGGCCUCCCAAAGUGCUGGGAUUACAGGCAUGCACAACUGUUCCCGGCCACUCUUUUUCUUUUUUUUUUUUUUUGAGAUGAAGUCUUGCUCUGUCACCCAUGCUGGAGUGCAGUGGCCUGAUCUCGGCUCACUGCAACCUCCGCCUCCCAAGUUCAAGCAAUUCUCCCUGCCUCAGCCUCCCGAGUAGCUGGGAUUAUAGGCGCCCACCACACGCCAGGCUAAUUUUUGUGUUUUUAGUAGAGAUGGGGUUUUGUCAUGUUAGCCAGGCUGGUCUCAAACUCCUGACCUCAGGUGCUGCCCACCUUGACCUCCCAAAGGGAUUACCGGUGUGAGCCAUUGCACCCAACCUCUACCACAUUCUUUUCAAUGGCCACAUAGUAUUCCCCAGUAUGUUUCAGUGGUCUCCCAGGGAUGCACAUGUAGGUUGCCUCCAACCUUGUGCUCCUACACACACAUUGCUGCAACUAAUGUGCUUGCAUAUCUUCCUUGAAGCUGCCCUUUUCUUGCUCAAACCCAUGACUUCCUGAAUGCAUUCUUCAGAUGAGCUCAAUAAUGCUUUUCUGACUUCUCCCCCAUCCCUUCGGGUCUCUCCUGCCUCCAUUCAACCUUUCUAGGCUGAGCGACUGCCUCUCCCACAGGUUAAAGUGCUCCCUCCAGUAAGAAGUUAAUCUCCCUCUGGUUUCCCAAGACUCUCCUGAGCUGGACGGUGUCUGCUUGUGUGUCUUUGUCCCACUUCAAUUGUGGUUCUUUAGAUUCAGCUGGAAUUGCCCAUUGUUGAAGAGAGUCUGUAUGUUUUUCUAAGCUAAUUUCACAGGCAGCAGCAUUCAGAUUCAAAUUUCCUGGCACUUGGCUGCAGUCAGUCAAAGUCACCAAGGAGAAUAUAUUGUAGCCAGACAGGUCUCACAAUCCUCUUGCCUGGUGGAGGGUUUUAUUGGCUGCAAAUCCUGUCACCAGGCAGGCAAGACAUCCUCAUCACUUCAUGACAGGUCCUGGGGCAAGGCGUGAUAGAUGGUGAAGAUUGGGCCACCUCUAGGUCCUGGAAAUAAGUUCUGACUCCCAAGUGCCUGGAGAGUGUAACAAAGAGAGGGGCAGCAGGAGCUGGAAGAGGUUACUGAGAUCAUACCACCCAACGCUGCUUUUCAGCAGAUGAGGACCUGGACCCAGUUUGCCAAAAACCAAUUCUGGGCUGCAUCUAUCAGACCAGUGGCCCUAACCCUUUAACAAAGCCCUUGGAGAAUCUGAUGCAAUGAGGCCCUUCUUCCCUGCUAAAUAAAUAUGCAUACACAUACAUUAUUCUGGAUACACUGUGUGUUUUGGUUGGGGUGGUAUGGGGAGGGUAUUCUGGGUUAAGUCACAUAAGAUCAUGCCUGUGAAAGGUUUUCUCUCAAAGGGCAAAUGCCAGGCAUUAUUAUUUUCUUCUCCUGCACUGCUCAGACCAAAACGUUCCCUGACUAACCUGUCUUUAGCUAAACUGGCUUUAAAUUCAUUGCAUUUCUGGAAAGUGCUAAUUAGAAUAUGACAGCUGAGCACCCCCUUUUCUGAGAAGAAAUUGGUUUUCUUUUCUUUUUGUUUUUGAGACAGAAUUUCACUCUCGUUGCCCAGGCUGGAGUGCAAUGAUGCGAUCUUGGCUCACCACAAGCGGUGAAUUCUCAUUGGAAUACUUAACCUCUUUUGGCCUGGUGUUCUCCAAUUUGUAAAUUGCUUCUUCUUCAAACUCUUUAAAUUGUAUUCUGUCUUAGAUUUUUCUUUCUACACACUUUCUUUCUAACCCAUUCACAGAAUUUUUGCCUGCUGUUCCUGCAAUGUUGGGUUCGGUUGGUUUGGAGGUCUUGGGAAUUCUUCCACUAGGAGACGCCAUGUUGCUUGCAUUGAUUUGGAGAUAAGAGGGUCGCUUGGCCAUGAACUACUGGCUGGAGUGAUUGAUUCCAAUUAUUAGGGGGAAUUCGGUGGCUGUCAUACAGCAGAGGCAAGGAAGGCCGUGUCUGGAACCCAAGGCAGUCUCUGGAACACCUCUUAGUAUUACCAUGCCCAAUGAGAAAUGUUAAAUGUAAAAAAGGUAGGCUCACCAAGGAGUCACCCACUUUGGGAGUGGAGGUUUGAGUUAUUCCCCCAAGUAAAGAACUUGAGCAGCUGAGAUACUGGCUGAGGAACUGCAACAUGGAAUGAGUAGUGGAAGAAAAUAGCUUGUGACUAGCAUAUAAAUGAGGAUAGUAGGCUGGGCAUGAUGGCUCUCACCUGGAAUCUCAGCACUUUGGGAAAUCAAGGCGGGCAGAUCACCUGAGGUCAGGAGUUUCAGACCAGCCUGGUGAAACCCCAGCUCUACUAAAAAUACAAAAAUUAGUCAGGUGUGAUGGCAGGUGCCUGUAAUCCUAGCUAUUCAGAAGGCUGAGGCAGGAGAAUUACUUGAACCUGGGAGGUGGAGAUUGCAGUGAGCCGAGAUCAUGCCACUGCACUCCAGCCUGGGCAAUAAGAGUGAAACUCUAUUUCAAAAAAGGAAAGAAAAGAAAUGAGGAUAGUAACAGUUAUGCACAUUUUCCCUUUAUCCUCUCAUGGUUUUGGCUCACAUAUAUAUGCUGUGGGUCUAUAUUCAGUACUCUCUUAUUUUCUCUCUCUUCCUCUCCC
This is a long non-coding RNA of Callithrix jacchus (white-tufted-ear marmoset), 5217 nucleotides long. RefSeq lists it as uncharacterized. Lineage: Eukaryota; Metazoa; Chordata; Mammalia; Primates; Cebidae. The record is from RefSeq and is a predicted model, not a curated record.